CGGCGAGNGAAGAGGGAAGAGCUCAAAUUUUGAAUCUGGCGUUUUUGGCGUCCGAAUUGUAAUCUANAGAAGUGUUUUCCGUGACGGACCGUGCAUAAGUCUCCUGGAAUGGAGCGUCAUGGAGGGUGAGAAUCCCGUAUAUGGCACCGGACUCCCGUCUGCUCUGUGAUACACUCUCGACGAGUCGAGUUGUUUGGGAAUGCAGCUCUAAACGGGUGGUAAAUGCCAUCUAAAGCUAAAUAUUGGCCAGAGACCGAUAGCGAACAAGUACCGUGAGGGAAAGAUGAAAAGCUCUUUGGAAAGAGAGUAAACAGAC
Molecule: ribosomal RNA, 316 nt
Filed under: uncultured mycorrhiza of Neottia nidus-avis sp. 1
Lineage: Eukaryota; Fungi; Basidiomycota; Agaricomycetes; Sebacinales; Sebacinaceae
Description: eukaryotic LSU rRNA
Rfam family: Eukaryotic large subunit ribosomal RNA
Source: RNAcentral